RNAcentral lists this unclassified non-coding RNA (346 nucleotides) under Hevea brasiliensis (rubber tree). The record is from RNAcentral. Lineage: Eukaryota; Viridiplantae; Streptophyta; Magnoliopsida; Malpighiales; Euphorbiaceae.
GGAGAGAGAGAGAGAGAGAUAAAAGCAAAAGACGUGGUCUUUCUCAUAUACACAGAUCCCUAUGGAAUGCAGGGUGUGCACCCCAGCAUCGCUUGCUCGUAUUCAUUCCUUUUGUUUAGUUUGAAGAGACCAGUUUUGUUCUCUUUAAAGAGAGAAUUUUCAUGGGUGAUUGCAUAGAGUGAAGAGUUUUUGGGAAGGGAAAAUUUUCUUGCAAUGAGUUCCCGCUGCUAGAAAACAAAAAGCCAAGCUUUCAUAUGGAGGGAGGCAAGAGAUUUCGGGUAUGAUUAGUUUAUUUCCUUGCUAAUGAUUGAAUUGCCUUGUAGCAAGUGAGGAACCUCUGUGAGUA